This 428-nucleotide ribosomal RNA is filed under the name Yersinia ruckeri. Its description in RNAcentral is "bacterial SSU rRNA". It matches the Rfam family "Bacterial small subunit ribosomal RNA", at positions 72 to 499 of the family's 1533-position model. The record is from RNAcentral. Lineage: Bacteria; Pseudomonadati; Pseudomonadota; Gammaproteobacteria; Enterobacterales; Yersiniaceae.
GCUUGCUACUUUGCCGGCGAGCGGCGGACGGGUGAGUAAUGUCUGGGGAUCUGCCUGAUGGAGGGGGAUAACUACUGGAAACGGUAGCUAAUACCGCAUAACCUCGCAAGAGCAAAGUGGGGGACCUUCGGGCCUCACGCCAUCGGAUGAACCCAGAUGGGAUUAGCUAGUAGGUGGGGUAAUGGCUCACCUAGGCGACGAUCCCUAGCUGGUCUGAGAGGAUGACCAGCCACACUGGAACUGAGACACGGUCCAGACUCCUACGGGAGGCAGCAGUGGGGAAUAUUGCACAAUGGGCGCAAGCCUGAUGCAGCCAUGCCGCGUGUGUGAAGAAGGCCUUCGGGUUGUAAAGCACUUUCAGCGAGGAGGAAGGGUUAAGUGUUAAUAGCACUGAACAUUGACGUUACUCGCAGAAGAAGCACCGGCUA